GCGACCGCCAUUGUGCUCAAGUCGUCAGAACCAAGGCCUUCUGUCAGAGAACCGAGCAAGCGUCCCAGUCCUCGAAGGUGUGGACUGACUUGGGAAUGAUCAUGGGGCUCGAGGAGGACGUGAAGGAGCAUGUCCUGCACAAAAUCAGACAUACCGCGAAGAAGUAUGCCCAGACGAUGAUAAACGUGCAGCCGGCCGACAAGGACGACGACGAGCUGCUAGCUCUACUUGCCUAUGGUUGUGGAACAACCAUUGGCACCUUGGCGGAUCCGAGAAACGGGGUUCGUCAGGCAGGUGAGGAACUAUCGGUGGACGGUGUGGU
Amphibalanus amphitrite is the source of this 322-nucleotide long non-coding RNA. RefSeq lists it as uncharacterized. The record is from RefSeq and is a predicted model, not a curated record. The transcript has 3 exons. Lineage: Eukaryota; Metazoa; Arthropoda; Thecostraca; Balanomorpha; Balanidae.